GAUGAACGCUAGCGGCAGGCUUAACACAUGCAAGUCGUGGGGCAGCGCGAGGUAGCAAUACUUUGGCGGCGACCGGCAAACGGGUGCGGGACACGUACGCAACCUUCCUCAGAGCGGGGAAUAGCCUCUCGAAAGAGAGAUUAAUACCCCAUAGUAUCUCGAAACUGCAUGGUUUUGAGAUUAAAGCUUCGGCACUUUGAGAUGGGCGUGCGGCUGAUUAGGUAGUUGGUAGGGUAACGGCCUACCAAGCCAACGAUCAGUAGCUGAUGUGAGAGCAUGAUCAGCCACACGGGCACUGAGACACGGGCCCGACUCCUACGGGAGGCAGCAGUGAGGAAUAUUGGUCAAUGGAGGAAACUCUGAACCAGCCAUGCCGCGUGAAGGA
RNAcentral lists this ribosomal RNA (385 nucleotides) under uncultured bacterium. RNAcentral's name for it is "bacterial SSU rRNA". It matches the Rfam family "Bacterial small subunit ribosomal RNA", at positions 28 to 408 of the family's 1533-position model. The record is from RNAcentral.